RNAcentral lists this ribosomal RNA (497 nucleotides) under uncultured bacterium. RNAcentral describes it as "partial 16S ribosomal RNA". It matches the Rfam family "Bacterial small subunit ribosomal RNA", at positions 28 to 507 of the family's 1533-position model. The record is from RNAcentral.
GAUGAACGCUGGCGGCGUGCCUAAUACAUGCAAGUCGAGCGAACAGACGAGGAGCUUGCUCCUCUGACGUUAGCGGCGGACGGGUGAGUAACACGUGGAUAACCUACCUAUAAGACUGGGAUAACUUCGGGAAACCGGAGCUAAUACCGGAUAAUAUAUUGAACCGCAUGGUUCAAUAGUGAAAGACGGUUUUGCUGUCACUUAUAGAUGGAUCCGCGCCGCAUUAGCUAGUUGGUAAGGUAACGGCUUACCAAGGCGACGAUGCGUAGCCGACCUGAGAGGGUGAUCGGCCACACUGGAACUGAGACACGGUCCAGACUCCUACGGGAGGCAGCCGUAGGGAAUCUUCCGCAAUGGGCGAAAGCCUGACGGAGCCACGCCGCGUGAGUGAUGAAGGUCUUCGGAUCGUAAAACUCUGUUAUUAGGGAAGAACAAAUGUGUAAGUAACUAUGCACGUCUUGACGGUACCUAAUCAGAAAGCCACGGCUAACUACGUG